UCAAAACCAAAUUCAAAUGUAUCAAUAUCAUUCAUUUCAUGAUCAUAAAAUGUUCAUUACAUCAAAAAAUACAAAUUUGGAUAUGUUGACCAAAUGUUGACUUUUGUCAACAAUUGACUUUUUGGUAAACUUUGACAAAAGUCAACCCAACCUUUUUCAUCCCAAAUCCCCAUCCUAAUCCUAAUGCUAAUCUUCAAACUUGGAUCCAUCUUGAUCUUUGCAUCUUUGCCACUUCUACAUGGAUGCUUCAAAGUCCAACUUUGAUGCCAUGUUUGUUCAACCAUCAUGCCAUGAACUUAGCAAAACAUGAGCAAACCAUGACCUACAUGAAUUCCAAGCCAAUGAACUAAGGUCAAAAUUUAAAUGAACCCAAAAGCUACACAUGGAUGAAACCAAAGUCAGAAUGAGAAUGCAAUGCUAUCACAAGUCAGAAUGAACAUGGCCAAGACCUGCUACAAGCCAACAUACAUGAACAAUCCUGCAUAAUGGACAUGCUGUAGAACACAACAUGAAGCAAUACAUACAUGAUACACCUACAGAAAUCACAAGCUGCUAUGAAAACCUGAAACAUGAACUGAAUACCCCGAUGCACCAGUCAGAACCUAUUCAUACAAAACCAAGCAAACUUAGGUUUCAUCAUGUUGCAAGCCAACAUUAGAAAUGCACACUGACCUACUACAUCAGAAUCCAUAGCUGUAAAGAAUCACAACGCAAAAAAAUACACCAUUGAGCAUCAUCAAACUAAUCUCAACUGAACUUAGUAUUCACAACAAAACAUCCACCACAAACUAAGUCAAAGCUUAAGCUAUUGGACCUAAUUUCCAAGACUCACAAAACUCAACACAACAAAACCAUUCAAAAGACUCAACUGAACAAAACCAAGGACUGGACCUACAAACCAUAACUAAAUUUAAUCAGAACAUAACUGAAUGCCCCAACUACUUUGCCUUGGGAUCCACACAUAACUACAAAAUAGAAAACUGAAUAACAUAAUUGACACAAAAUUCCACAACAAAUCCCUAAUUGAAUUUUCUAAUUGUAUCAAUCUCUCUAACCACCUAUAAAUAGCAAAGUCCAAUCAUUGGAAUCCUCCCCAUUCAUUUUUGCAUCCAAAAUUGAUUCCAAUCUUCAAUCAUUACAGAAAAUAUCUACAAUCACUUUUCAUCACUCACCCCCAAAAAACCACCUUCAUCAUUCUGAACCAAAACUUCAUUAAUCCGCACAUUCAAACUUCAUCACCCUAACCUAAACAACUUCAUCUCCAUCAUCAACAUAUCAAUCAACAUCAGAAUCUCAUCAUCAACAACACCUUACAUCACUCAAUUCUCAUGUAACAUCGCAUUUAGAAAAACCAAAUAAAAAAAUCAAGAAGAGACGAAGAGAGUGGGAGAAUUAAGUUAAAGCAUGGAAGAAUCAGAAUCAUUACCUGGAAAUAAGAGUUCACCUGCGUUCAUCAUCACCUUCGAAAUCUCUGGUACGGUGAG
RNAcentral lists this long non-coding RNA (1484 nucleotides) under Lathyrus oleraceus (garden pea). RNAcentral's name for it is "Pisum sativum (pea) long non-coding RNA (PSAT_LNC031766)". The record is from RNAcentral. Lineage: Eukaryota; Viridiplantae; Streptophyta; Magnoliopsida; Fabales; Fabaceae.